CAUGCACGUCUAAGUACAAACUAAAUGAUGGUGAAACUGCAAAUGGCUCAUUACAACGGUUAUGAUGUACCCGGGAGUUCCGAUGGAUAUUUCCAGUAACACUAGAACUAAUACAUGCUCCUGCGUUUAUUAGUUUCGCACAGUCCGUCGCUGAGUCAUGGUAAACAGUUGAUCGACUCGACGUCCCGGAACAGUUUCCGCCCCAUCAGCUUCGAUGGUUGGGUAUUGGCCUACCAUUGCAACAACGGGUAACGAGGAAUUAGGGUUUGAUUUCGGAGAGGGAGCCUGAGAAACGGCUACCACAUCUACGGAUGGCAGCAGGCGCGCAAAUUACCCAAUGCAGACUCUGUGAGGUAGUGACGAGAAAUAAUAAAGCGGGACUUCUGUUUCGCUAUUAUAAUGAGGAAUAACCAAAGGUCAUUCCGAUUAGCAACUGAUGGGAAAGUCUGGUGCCAGCAGCCGCGGUAAUACCAGCGUCAGUAGCAUAUAUUAAAAUUGUUGCAGUUAAAACGUCCGUAGUCUAUACGUCGUCCCAAACUCACUGCAGUCUUCCGUUUUCUUCAUUGAAUGCGGUAGUUUCUGCAGUCACUCCCUUGAUCAAAUUAGGUUGUUCAAGGUAGACCAAGUCUUCAUAUUUUCACAUGGAAUUGGGUGAGGGAACUUAAGAGUUUAAGUUUCUCGUCUUAGGAUCAUCCGGGGUCAUUCGUACUCGUCCGCGAGAGGUGAAAUUCUUGGACCGGACGAAGACGACCAGCAGCGAAAGCAUCUGUCAGGGAUGUUUUCUGCGACNAAGGACGAAGGUCAGGGUAUCGAAGACGAUUAGAUACCGUCGUAG
This 835-nucleotide ribosomal RNA is filed under the name uncultured alveolate. Its description in RNAcentral is "bacterial SSU rRNA". It matches the Rfam family "Eukaryotic small subunit ribosomal RNA", at positions 50 to 1023 of the family's 1831-position model. The record is from RNAcentral.